UAAAUGAAAAGUUGUGUUGAGAUACCUUUUUUUUUUUUUUUUUUUAGCGCAAUAUAUGGUACGCGUACAAAGCGCUUGCUUCAGCGUCGUUUGUGGUGGUGAAAGAUGGAGAAAAAGCCAUACGAAUCCCAGCAACAAAAGGCCCCGUUGAGUACAUGAGGGUACGUGCCCCCAGCGGGAUACCACGCGACUGCUGAAGACGGGGCAGCUGUGUGCUCGGAUAGGGGAACGUUCUCUACCGGGACAAGCAGGAAAGGAAAGAUCACUGAGGUUUCUCCCUCCGUUCUUUUCUUCUGGAACGGAGAUGUACUGUAUGGAGCCGUGGCAGCCAUUUUGCAAUCAAGAAGCGACGGUUAAGGGGCACAAGAAAGAAGCCAGCAGCUUAAGACAUUAAGGUCCUGGAACCUUGAUGGCAACAGAAUGUUCUGUCCAUAAGCAAGCAGGCUGCAGAAGAGCCACGAGACGUCCUGAGUAGAGGCCGAGCACAUGGGUACCCCCCCCCCCACCCCGGCUCUGUGGUUUAUUAGCUCCGUGAGCUUUCUCCGAGGAGCCUCUGGUGGCAGUCACCAAGGCCAGGGCUCAGCAAAGGGGAGCAGAGACUCGCUGUCAAUAUCAAUCUGUUUGCAACCCUAUCCCUGAGUUACGGCACCUGGAGUGUUCCCGGGGACCUGGACCUUUCAGGUUUUUAAAAAAAAAAACAGGGGCGCCUGGGUGGCUCAGUCGGUUG
Molecule: long non-coding RNA, 727 nt
Organism: Neofelis nebulosa (Clouded leopard)
Lineage: Eukaryota; Metazoa; Chordata; Mammalia; Carnivora; Felidae
Exons: 3
Source: RefSeq, a predicted model, not a curated record